This is a transfer RNA of Selaginella moellendorffii, 74 nucleotides long. It matches the Rfam family "tRNA". From Rfam's summary of the family: Transfer RNA (tRNA) molecules are approximately 80 nucleotides in length. Their secondary structure includes four short double-helical elements and three loops (D, anti-codon, and T loops). NCBI's taxonomy places the organism in Eukaryota, Viridiplantae, Streptophyta, Lycopodiopsida, Selaginellales, Selaginellaceae. The record is from Rfam.
GGGGAUGUAGCUCAAAUGGUAGAGCGAUGGUCGACGAUAGACAUAGGUAGGAGGAUCGAUACCUCCCAUCUCCA